CUUUACUGUAGCUUUGUAUUGGACUUUGAACAGAUCUGUGUAGGAUAGGUGGGAGGCUUUGAAGUGUGGUCGCUAGACUGCAUGGAGCCAACGUUGAAAUACCACCCUGGUGUGUUUGAGGUUCUAACCUGGGUCCCUUAUCGGGAUCGGGGACAGUGCAUGGUAGGCAGUUUGACUGGGGCGGUCUCCUCCCAAAGUGUAACGGAGGAGUUCGAAGGUACGCUAGGUACGGUCGGACAUCGUGCUAAUAGUGCAAUGGCAUAAGCGUGCUUAACUGCGAGACUGACAAGUCGAGCAGAUGCGAAAGCAGGACAUAGUGAUCCGGUGGUUCUGUAUGGAAGGGCCAUCGCUCAACGGAUAAAAGGUA
RNAcentral lists this ribosomal RNA (367 nucleotides) under uncultured organism. RNAcentral's name for it is "bacterial LSU rRNA". It matches the Rfam family "Bacterial large subunit ribosomal RNA", at positions 2099 to 2465 of the family's 2925-position model. The record is from RNAcentral.